This is a long non-coding RNA of Mauremys mutica (yellowpond turtle), 253 nucleotides long. RefSeq lists it as uncharacterized. The transcript is spliced from 3 exons. The record is from RefSeq and is a predicted model, not a curated record. NCBI's taxonomy places the organism in Eukaryota, Metazoa, Chordata, Testudines, Geoemydidae.
UAUCCUUACACAUUGGACAUACUAUAUGCGCCUGAAGUUUCAGUAACUGGGUAUGAUGGAAACUGGUUCAUUGGAAGAGAGCAUGUUCAGCUCCAGUGUAAUGCUGACGCAAAUCCACCGCCCACGGAAUUUACAUGGACCAGGUUGGAUGGGCAAUGGCCUGAAGGUUUAAUGUCUUCAAAUAAUACUCUGCAUUUCAACAGUCCGUUGACUUACAAUUAUGCUGGGACUUACGUCUGUAAGGUGACCAAUU